CCUACGGGCGGCAGCAGUGGGGAAUAUUGGACAAUGGGGGGAACCCUGAUCCAGCCAUGCCGCGUGUGUGAAGAAGGCCCUCGGGUUGUAAAGCACUUUCAGUGAGGAAGAACGCCUGGUGGUUAAUACCCAUCAGGAAAGACAUCACUCACAGAAGAAGCACCGGCUAACUCCGUGCCAGCAGCCGCGGUAAUACGGAGGGUGCGAGCGUUAAUCGGAAUUACUGGGCGUAAAGCGCGCGUAGGUGGCUUGGUAAGCCGGUUGUGAAAGCCCCGGGCUCAACCUGGGAACGGCAUCCGGAACUGUCAAGCUAGAGUGCAGGAGAGGAAGGUAGAAUUCCCGGUGUAGCGGUGAAAUGCGUAGAGAUCGGGAGGAAUACCAGUGGCGAAGGCGGCCUUCUGGACUGACACUGACACUGAGGUGCGAAAGCGUGGGUAGCAAACAGGAUUAGAUACCCCGGUAGUC
RNAcentral lists this ribosomal RNA (465 nucleotides) under Vreelandella stevensii. Its description in RNAcentral is "partial 16S ribosomal RNA". It matches the Rfam family "Bacterial small subunit ribosomal RNA", at positions 338 to 795 of the family's 1533-position model. The record is from RNAcentral. Lineage: Bacteria; Pseudomonadati; Pseudomonadota; Gammaproteobacteria; Oceanospirillales; Halomonadaceae.